Molecule: long non-coding RNA, 270 nt
Organism: Stylophora pistillata
Lineage: Eukaryota; Metazoa; Cnidaria; Anthozoa; Scleractinia; Pocilloporidae
Source: RefSeq, a predicted model, not a curated record
UCCUGAGCAUCCAUUCGAAUGCAUUGUUAUCUUCAAUGGCUCGUUGAAUUUGAUAGGUCUAAAAGGGUACGGAAUACUGCGUUAUCAAACGUCGAAUCCAGCAAAAACUUACUUGCGGUCCUGAUUGAUUUGUCCCCUACAAAUGGUCUUCUCAGGGCAAGAGCUAUGAUUCCUGCAGCCAAUGGAGCCGAUGCAGAAGUUCCCGUGUGUCUUUCUGUACAUUCGUUAUGUAAAUCUGUUGUGACCUGAAAAUGAAAUUGAAAAGCCAUC